CCUUCCCUAAGUUCUCCCAGGGCGCUGCCAGAGCCCUGCCGGCUAAGGGAUGGGGAAACAAACAGGUACUCGGUCCGCUCUUUAAGUCCCCUACGUAUUUUCCGGGAGGGCUGAACGGAACCACAAUGUUUUUCUAGUCUUGGAAAACAUAAGAUCUCUCCAAACCCCACAUUCCCGUCAAAUCCACUUUUCAAAGCAGCCCAGUCUCUCCUGUAUUUUUUUCUUUUUAAUUAAGAUGGGGUCUCGCUCCGUUGCCCAGGCUGGAGUGCAAUGGCACGAUCACGGCUCACUGCAGCCUCGACCUCCCGGAAUUAAGCGAUCUUCUCACCUCCCGAGUAGCUGGGAUUGCAGGCGCGCACCACCUCGCUUGGCUAAUUUUUUAUUUUUUGUAGAGACAUGGUCUUGCUACGUUGCCCAGGCUGGUCCCGAACUCCUGGUCUCAAGUAGUCCUCCCACCUUGGCAUCCCAGAGUGCUGGGAUUAUAGACAUGAGCCACCGCGUCCAGCAAUUAGUCUUUUCUAAACUUCAUAUUGUCUCUACUCCUAUCUACACUUCACCUUUCUUCAGAUCCCUGCCAUCUAUCCUCCAACUCCACCACCAGCUGAUCCGGCACGCUAAAGACCACCAAUGAUUUAAAGGCUGCGAAAUCGUUAAAAUACUACGCUAGCAGGCCCACUAAUGAAUUAGCCUUCUUGUUCACUGACUUCCCAAUACACCUGCUCCAGGAUAUCCCCUGUCAUCCCAAAUGACUCAAGAAUGUGACGCUAUUCCGGAGUGAAGAGUGUUUCUCGGGAUUUCGCGAGCUUUUUUCCUAGAUGCCUCACAGAGCUUGCUGUCCGGCAGUCCAGUUAUGGGUUUGCCAGCACAGUAGUUCAUUGUGAGAAGUGUUUCUAAUGGGUGCUACAGGGCUGCAGAGGCAAGCUUUGGGAAUGCUGUUGGUGCAGCAAGUGCUUCCGGGUGGCGGAUUGCCAUAGCAUAGGGGAAACAACUCCUGGUCUUCCAUUUAAGAGGGUCAUACCUUCACUGUACCUGGGGGAUCUCAAUACUCCAAGUAAAGGAAUCAGCAUGGAAUCAAAUUAUUGAUAAAUGUGAUGCUGCAACCAGAAUGUUGAGCACUGCAUGAUACAGACGAAGUCGAUGUUGUAGGUCAUUAGUAACAUGUGGUAUGGGAGGUUCUGGUUUCUGUAAGUGCAUGGUUUCCAUGGACUUGGAGAUGAUGAUGCCUCUGAGGACAUGUCAUUUAGAGCUGGGCAGACCGCACAGAGAAUUGUGGUACAGAUUGUUGUAACAGUAUGAAGCCCUCUCAUUUGCUGUAUGUACAGCAUGGCCAGUGCUAAUGUGCUCAAUUUCCGUAGGUGGGGCUGUAAUCUCGUAAUUCCCAGUCAAAAGAGGUAGGAAGGGAUGCUGAGGACCCAGGGAUACUGAUGAUUGGGCUGACCCAGAAGUGGCCAUCUUUGUGGAAACCAGGUUGGUUCCCUUGGUUAACUUUUUAAAUGCCCCCAUUCCCAGGGCCAUGAGUAAUUUGAGUUGUUUUUUGUUGUUGUUGUUGUUAUUGUUUGAGAUGGAGUUUCACUCUUGUCACCCAGGCUGGAGUGCAAUGGUGUGAUCUCAGCUCACUGCAACCUCCACCUCCAGGGUUCAAGCAAUUCUACUGCCUCAGCCUCCCGAGUAGCUGGCAUUACAGGCGCAUGCAACCACGCCCAGCUAAUUUUUUGCAUUUUUAGUAGAGACGGGGUUUCACCGUGUUGGCUAGGCUGGUCUCAAACUCCUGAUCUCAGGUCAUCUGCCUGCCUCAGCCUCCCAAAGUGCUGCAAUCACAGGCAUGAGCCACCUGGCCUGUUUUUUAAAAAGCCUAAGCCUGUUGACCCCAGGCUCCACAAUCUUCAAUUUUCCGAGUCUCAGUUUUUUUUUCAUGAGUAAAAUAGAGGUAAUACCUACCUCACAGAGAUUUUGUGAAGAUUAAAUGAAACAGUGUCUGGACCAUAAGUGCCCAAUAUAAAGGUAAAAAUAUUUUUCUUUUUGCGCCUAAUAUGUAGCAUUCUCUUUGCUCCUUCUCUAUGUAAAUGUUAGAUCACUAUUUUCAAGCACUCCUUAAAUACUGAUAUUUCUCAGGUAAUCAUCUUCAGCUCAGGACUGUAUUUACCCUAUCUUAAUUUCACCUAUGGCCUAUACCCUGAUGAUCCCCAAAGCCCUGUAACCAACCCAGGUACUGAUGAGUUUAGAACUGCCCAGCAGCACAACAGACACAUAUUAGAUAUAUCAAGCACCUAAAACAAUAUCCAAAGGAGAAUUAUCUUUUUUUUCUUAAAUCUGUCCCUUCUAUUCCCC
Molecule: long non-coding RNA, 2328 nt
Filed under: Homo sapiens (human)
Lineage: Eukaryota; Metazoa; Chordata; Mammalia; Primates; Hominidae
Description: non-protein coding lnc-SCD-2:3
Source: RNAcentral